This 301-nucleotide ribosomal RNA is filed under the name uncultured bacterium. RNAcentral's name for it is "partial 16S ribosomal RNA". It matches the Rfam family "Bacterial small subunit ribosomal RNA", at positions 509 to 809 of the family's 1533-position model. The record is from RNAcentral.
CAGCCGCCACGGUAAUACGUAGGUGGCGAGCGUUGUCCGGAAUCAUUGGGCGUAAAGGGAGCGCAGGCGGGCAUGUAAGUCUUUCUUAAAAGUGCGGGGCUCAACCCCGUGAGGGGAGAGAAACUACUCAUCUUGAGUGCAGGAGAGGAAAGCGGAAUUCCUAGUGUAGCGGUGAAAUGCGUAGAUAUUAGGAAGAACACCAGUGGCGAAGGCGGCUUUCUGGACUGUAACUGACGCUGAGGCUCGAAAGCCAGGGGAGCGAACGGGAUUAGAUACCCCUGUAGUCCCUGUCUCUUAUACA